Culex pipiens pallens (northern house mosquito) is the source of this 932-nucleotide long non-coding RNA. RefSeq lists it as uncharacterized. The transcript has 3 exons. NCBI's taxonomy places the organism in Eukaryota, Metazoa, Arthropoda, Insecta, Diptera, Culicidae. The record is from RefSeq and is a predicted model, not a curated record.
CACCACCGACACCGACGUAACACUCCUUGAAAAAAAUAAUUUGAAUUCUGACCCUGAAUGAUUUACCGCAUUUACUGAAACUUUGACUAGCCCCUCGUUUUGAAUGAAAAUAAAUCUUUCACGCAACACUGCUUCGCUCGGGUGACAUUUUGACAUGUUGAUUUGUUUUGAUGCUGUGUUGAAGCUGAUGCGGAUUUUUUUAUUGAUUCCGUUCGCAAUGGGAAGAACCUGUUUCUUUCCCGGUUGCAGAAGUCGUGACGGAAACUUCAUCUCGUUUCACGCGUUUUCUGUGGACGAGCCGACGUUAGGUAUCUGGAAAGCUUUUUGCGGAAGGGAAAAUGCUACCCACAGGAACUUGCUAUGUAGCGUGCAUUUCGACACUGACUGUUUUCGUGAUCCUUCCCGACCAUCGAAAGGGAAAAAUUACACCGCGAUGUUGGACUGCUCGGACGAAACAUUUUGAAGAUCUGCAGAAAUUUAAUCCUCCUCAAUAAAAUACUCAGCAAAAAACAAUGAAUUGCAAUCAACAAUCGAAAUAUAUUCAAAUACUAAUCAUUAGAAAUAAACCUAAUUGGGAACAUGAAAAUAUUACUUUCUCAAAAUCUUCUAAUUUAUCCCGCAAGUGCGAUUGACAGCUGAAAACGUAAUUUGCGUUAUAUUUUUAUUAGAUUUAAAAUUAAACCAUUUAUUUAAGCUGAUUGGACAAUUGUUUUUAAACGUUCAAUAAAUGAAUUGAAGAACAAAAAUUACACACAGAUGCUACAGGACUAUGCACGUGAAACAAUUGAAUUCUUGAUCAGAACCUUCAUCUCCCAAUCUGCUUACACUCAGACAACGGUUUUUGAUGAGCUCGGAGUCAUUGAUCGUGUCCAAUCAGAAUAUCUUUAGAAGAAAAAUCAUUCACCUUUCUUAAAAAUCACUUUGAUUUAACC